Molecule: ribosomal RNA, 511 nt
Filed under: uncultured bacterium
Lineage: Bacteria
Description: partial 16S ribosomal RNA
Rfam family: Bacterial small subunit ribosomal RNA
Source: RNAcentral
GACGAACGCUGGCGGCGUGCCUAAUACAUGCAAGUCGAGCGGAAGUUGAAGAGCUUGCUCUUCAACUUUAGCGGCGGACGGGUGAGUAACACGUGGGCAACCUGCCCUGCAGAUCGGGAUAACUCCGGGAAACCGGUGCUAAUACCGAAUAGUUUUGGGUCCCUCCUGGGACCUAACGGAAAGACGGUUUCGGCUGUCACUGCAGGAUGGGCCCGCGGCGCAUUAGCUAGUUGGUGGGGUAACGGCCCACCAAGGCGACGAUGCGUAGCCGACCUGAGAGGGUGAUCGGCCACACUGGGACUGAGACACGGCCCAGACUCCUACGGGAGGCAGCAGUAGGGAAUCUUCCGCAAUGGACGCAAGUCUGACGGAGCAACGCCGCGUGAGUGAUGAAGGUUUUCGGAUCGUAAAACUCUGUUGCGAGGGAAGAAACCGUGCCAAUUAACUACUGGCACCUUGACGGUACCUCGCCAGAAGGCCACGGCUAACUACGUGCCAGCCGCCGCAGUAA